AAAUUAAGUAAAGGGAAGGGUAGGAAAUUAGGUAAUACUGAAUGAAAGUGAAAAAAUUAUACCUGAAAAAAAGGGGAAGUUGAAAAAGAUUACGAAUAAUAUGUAUUUAGAUGAAAGUGUAAAAGGAUAUGAUGAUUAAAAUGAAGGUACAUGGAAAGGACAUUGAAAUUAAGUAAAGGGAAGGGUAGGAAAUUAGGUAAUACUGAAUGAAAGUGAAAAAAUUAUACCUGAAAAAAAGGGGAAGUUGAAAAGAGGUUUGGAAUAUUAUGUAUUUAGAUGAAAGUGUAAAAGGAUAUGAUGAUUAAAAUAGAGGUACAGGGAAAGGACAUUGAAAUUAAGUAAAGGGAACGGUAGGAAAUUAGGUAAUGCAAAUUGAAAGUGAAAAAAUGAUAAUUGAAAAAAAGGGGAAGUUGAAAAGAGAUUACGAAUAUUAUGUAUUUAGAUGAAAGUGUAAAAGAAUUAAAAUGAAGGUACAGGGAAAGGACAUUGAAAUUAAGUAAAAUAAUAAGUGGAGGUAUAGAAAGAUAAUGGAAUAACAGGAAGAGGAGAUAAAUAGAUAAAUAAAGCAAGUAAGAAAUGAUAAAAAGGUAAGUACAUAUAUUUUUACCAUUAAUAUUAUCAUCAUUAUUAUUUUUAUUGUUAUUAUUACUGUUAUUAUUAUUACUUUAGGAAUGAGUACAAAAAAAGGAUAGCUGUACUUUUAUUUUUUUCAUUAUUGUUGAAGGAAAGUAGAAAAUUAGGCAAAGUACUUUUUAUAGUCACUUUUUAUGUAUGUAUGAUAGCAUAAGACCUUUGCAAUACACUUAAUAAUAAUAUAUAUAUGUGUGUGUGUUGACAUUUCCAGAUACAUUACUCUAUACAAAGGGCCUCACUGUUGCCAGAUUAUCGUACCCAGAGCAUAGUAUCUACUGGUUUCUGACUUCUGAUACCCUACGCCCCUGUCCACCCAGCAGUGAAUGGGUACCAAGUAUUAAUCGGGGGUCGUGUCCCGUCUCCUGGGAUCUGUUACCUUCUAUAAUUCCUUCCCCAUCCUGUCUCUCCGGCAUAUGACCACAGAUGUUGCGCCGACUAAACGAAACUUUCCAACCAGUUUCUGACGCCUAACUAUUGCCAAGAAACAUCAGAAGCUAGCUCUUUUAACGAUAACUAUAAAUGAGUUUCGUUAUUGGAGCCCAGAAGACAGUUUUGGGGUAGGAUGUUGGGAAAUAUAAACGGCUGAGUACGACAGUCUGGCAAUGUUGAAGGGGCUCUGUUUGGGGUCUUUUUUGAGAGGGUUUUGACACGACUAUAAAUAUAUUACUGGAUGCUAGAAGUUGAUUCCGUUCUAAGGGUUUGAAUGCUUCUUUAUGGAUUCUGGGAAGAGGAUCUGAAUGUAUGUAUGUGAGAAUGUGUAUGUGUGUUUUUUGUGAGGGUUUUGGCACAACUAUAAAUAUAUUACUGGAUGCUAGAAGUUGAUUCCGUUGUAAGGGUUUGAAUGCUUCUUUAUGGAUUCUGGGAAGAGGAUCUGAAUGUAUGUAUGUGAGAAUUUGUAUGUGUGUUUUUUGUGAGGGUUUUGGCACGACUAUAAAUAUAUUACUGGAUGCUAGAAGUUGAUUCCGUUGUAAGGGUUUGAAUGCUUCUUUAUGGAUUCUGGGAAGAGGAUCUGAAUGUAUGUAUGUGAGAAUUUGUAUGUGUGUUUUUUGAGAGGGUUUUGGCACAACUAUAAAUAUAUUACUGGAUGCUAGAAGUUGAUUCCGUUGUAAGGGUUUGAAUGCUUCUUUAUGGAUUCUGGGAAGAGGAUCUGAAUGUAUGUAUGUGAGAAUUUGUAUGUGUGUUUUUUUAUGCUUAAGAAACCUCAUUGUCUACCAGAAUGUAUUUUUUUAUGUAUCUAAAUUCUUUCAUUCUUCUCUACGGAAAUACAAGAAGUAGACUCAAGGUUUUAAAUAAGAGGUGAGAAAAUGAUAGUAACCAGAUAUACUGUUUUAAAUAAAGGUGUGAUUUUAA
Eriocheir sinensis (Chinese mitten crab) is the source of this 1983-nucleotide long non-coding RNA. RefSeq lists it as uncharacterized. NCBI's taxonomy places the organism in Eukaryota, Metazoa, Arthropoda, Malacostraca, Decapoda, Varunidae. The transcript has 3 exons. The record is from RefSeq and is a predicted model, not a curated record.